CUAACGCUGAUGGGGUGCACGCUGCGUGCUGGGAGCUAGUUGUGGCUUCUCACGUGGAGUGUGCACUUGCACGCUUGGGGCUGGGAGGCGACCCCUGUGCAUCCACCCCACGCCCCGCCCCGCCGCGCGCGCCCCCCUCACAGAGGAAGCACGACCAGGUGAGCAAUGUGCCCUCCGAGGACCGGACCAGUAAGUGAUUCUGGGGGGUCGUAUUCCAGAGCCACGCUCGUGGGAGCCCCCAGGGAAAUCCCUGCCCAUCACCAGACGGAGGCUGGACGGCUUCCUGGGAGGCGAGGCCGGCGGAGUCUGGAAGGACAAGCAGGAGUUCGCGCUGCAUCGGGAGCUGAGAGGUGACUUUUUAAAAUAGGUAUCAUUUCAGGGGAGGGUGGAACGCUCUCGCCAGCCAUUAGCAAGCGCCGGCGUCGCGCCCGGCCCCAGGCCACGACCUGGCGGGCCCGGGCCCGAGGCCCCAGGGCGGCGGGAAGGAGGCUGCGGGGUCCAGGGCCGCGCCAGGGGCCUGCAGGCGAGGACGGCGAGCCCGCCCCGGACUGACCUUCCCGGAGGUGCCGUCCCCCAGCACGACGAUUUUCAGUUGCCGGUCCUGGCUCUCCUCCUCAGAGUCCGACAUGCUGUCCCGGGAACCAGGCCUGCCUCCCCCCACCCCCCGAGGCCGAGGGAGGAAGGGCAGGAGGGGGCUCCGGGGGCGGGGAGAGGAGGAAGGACGGCAGCGGGAGCAGAACCCCCCGCCCGGGUGCCUGAGCCACCACCGGAGAAAUCCGCGCAAAUCACUCGCCGGGCGCCAUCUUGCCCGCUCUGCCGCCCCCCUCGGCGCGGCCACGCCCCCUUCGCGUGACGUCGACGCGCCCCCCCAGCGUCAGCGCCGACCUGCGCCUGCCGAGCCCCCCGGCCGAGCCGGCCCAUUCGCGGGCCUGGGACGGGCGCGACGUUCGAGGCGAGCAGCCAGACCGCGGCCUUACCCUCGCAGGGACUGUAGGCGAUGGGGGGAGUGUAUCACUCAAACGAGGCAGGAAAAUGGGUACCGAGUAGCUGGCAGAUGUUCUAGCAAAUUCUCUUGUAGCCAUCACCCCCGGAGAAGACCCCCGAGACGAAUGGUUUGGCCCGAGGGCGGGGUGACGCCUGGGCUGCGCGCCGCGGUUGCCAUGGGAGCCAGGCGGAGGGACGGAGCCUGUGUCGGGGCGCCCCGGACACGGCUUGUCUGGGGGAGCGCGCAGGGGCGAGGCCCUGGAGCUGGAACCCCAGAAUCGGAUGGUUCAUUGAUCAGUCCCAAGCCCUAAAGUAGCAGUUGUCAAAGCAUGGUCCGGGGAACCCUGGGAGGAGGGGGGGGGGCAGAUAAAAUCAAAACUAUUUUCAUAGUAAUACACCUUUUUUUUUUUUUUUUUUUUUGCCUUUUUCAUGUUCAUUCUCUCGCAGGUAUACAGAGUUUCCAGAGGAUGGAUGAGGUGUAUGACAUCACUCUGGCAGCUAAGGGAGCCUGUGCUUAUUAUUCUGUUUCAAACAUUUCUUAGUGUUAAUAUCAAGGCCGUAGUGAGAGCUAAACUUAAAUAAACAAACGUUCUUUGGGGUUCACAGUAAUCCUUAAGAGUGUCAGGGGCCCUGAGCCCAAAAUUUGGGGAACUGCUCUCCAGUAGGGUAGGUAAAAGACAUCACAUAUUUUUUUUUAUAUAAAAUGAGAUAAAAUCGCCCUAACCGGUUUGGCUCAGUGGAUAGAGCGUUGGCCUGCGGACUCAAGGGUCCCAGGUUCGAUUCCCGUCAAGGGCAUGUACCUUGGUUGCGGGCACAUACCCAGCAGGGAGUGUGCAGGAGGCAGCUGAUCAAUGUUCUCUCUCAUCGAUGUUUCUAACUCUCUAUCCCUCUCCCUUCCUCUCUGUAAAAAAUCAAUAAUAUAUAUUUUUUU
Long non-coding RNA from Myotis daubentonii (Daubenton's bat), 1915 nucleotides. RefSeq lists it as uncharacterized. The record is from RefSeq and is a predicted model, not a curated record. The transcript is spliced from 2 exons. NCBI's taxonomy places the organism in Eukaryota, Metazoa, Chordata, Mammalia, Chiroptera, Vespertilionidae.